RNAcentral lists this ribosomal RNA (511 nucleotides) under uncultured bacterium. RNAcentral describes it as "bacterial SSU rRNA". It matches the Rfam family "Bacterial small subunit ribosomal RNA", at positions 60 to 584 of the family's 1533-position model. The record is from RNAcentral.
AGUCGGGCGAGAAAGCCGGGGCAACUCGGCGAGUACAGCGGCGGAAGGGUGCGUAAUACAUGGAUAACGUACCUUCCAGUGGGGGAUAACCCACCGAAAGGUGGGCUAAUACCGCAUGACGGCGGGAGGCGGCAUCGCUUCCCGCUCAACGACGCGAGUCGCUGGAAGAGCGGUCCAUGGCCUAUCAGCUAGUUGGCGGGGUAACGGCCCACCAAGGCGAUGACGGGUAGCCGGACUGAGAGGUUGAACGGCCACACUGGGACUGAGACACGGCCCAGACAUCUACGGAUGGCAGCAGUAGGGAAUCUUGCGCAAUGGGCGAAAGCCUGACGCAGCGACGCCGCGUGGGGGAUGAAGGCCUUCGGGUUGUAAACCCCUUUCAUGAGGGAAGAACACUGACCUAACCUCAGGAAGAAGCACCGGCUAACUCCGUGCCAGCAGCUGCGGUAAUACGGAGAGUGCAAACGUUGUUCGGAUUUACUGGGCGUAAAGGGCACGUAGGCGGCCCGGC